UAAAUUGGAACAAGAAUACUAAGAAUUCCAUAUUAUAUAAAGUCACGUGUUACAUUGCAAUUUUAAAGGACUUCAACAAUACAAUACACAUUGUAAGAUCUUCAGUUCAUCAAACAUUUAAUUAUUCAACAUUAUCAACCAUUUUGAUAAGCAUUCAAAAGCUCGGCACACAUCUCAAGCAUUGACACUUACACGUUGAUCUAACAUCUUUUGCAGUCUUUCACACGUUGAUCAAACAUCAACUUUGAAUGUGUAAUAAUGCACAGGCAGCUACUUCAAAUUACCUGCAUCGGCAUGUUCUUCUUCUCAGGGGUCUGCCGCAUUUGCAGUGCACAAUUUCACAGCGAACUGUCGGACUGCUCUGGCAUUUGCCUUCUGAGCAACAUGAAAAAAAACUGAAAAAAAAAUUGGAGUUCGAAACUGCCACCUUUUUAAUGUCGUGAACGAGAGCUACCAUGGCGAAAGGUUUGGAUUCGAUCUAUAGCUGCGCUGUGAGAUAUUGCCAUUUUUAAGGUAUUGUUUAACCUCGUGAUGGACCGUUCUCUGGAUAAGAAACUUCAUAAUCUUUCACUGACCUGAGGUUUUGGUGAUGAUUUUUCACGCUGACAUUUCCUAGACCUGAUUCCACGAUUAUCGCAUUACGAUUCUUGGCCAUGUGCAGGGGUAGAGAAAACUUAAGACUUUUAUGAGAGUAACCUGACAUUGGGCUGGUGCAGGGACGACACACACAAAGUGCCUGUCAAGAUCCCGAAUGUCGACGUACUUCUGCAUUUCGGUGCACCCAAUGUGUGCAUGCUUGUAGUUCACCAGCAAAUUCUCUAUGAUCUUCUUCACUUGUAAGUUGCGGUUUUUUACAAGUUCGCUUGCAACAAACAUAGCUUGCCGUAAUUUUCUCGAC
This 898-nucleotide long non-coding RNA is filed under the name Physcomitrium patens. RNAcentral's name for it is "long non-coding RNA (PPAT_LNC004389)". Lineage: Eukaryota; Viridiplantae; Streptophyta; Bryopsida; Funariales; Funariaceae. The record is from RNAcentral.